This 500-nucleotide ribosomal RNA is filed under the name uncultured bacterium. RNAcentral describes it as "partial 16S ribosomal RNA". It matches the Rfam family "Bacterial small subunit ribosomal RNA", at positions 30 to 523 of the family's 1533-position model. The record is from RNAcentral.
AUUGAACGCUGGCGGCAUGCCUUACACAUGCAAGUCGAACGGCAGCGGGGACUUCGGUCCGCCGGCGAGUGGCGAACGGGUGAGUAAUGUAUCGGAACGUACCAUUGAGUGGGGGAUAACUAUCCGAAAGGAUAGCUAAUACCGCAUAUUCUCUCCGGAGGGAAGCAGGGGACCGCAAGGCCUUGCGCUCAUUGAGCGGCCGAUAUCAGAUUAGCUAGUUGGUGAGGUAAAGGCUCACCAAGGCGACGAUCUGUAGCGGGUCUGAGAGGAUGAUCCGCCACACUGGAACUGAGACACGGUCCAGACUCCUACGGGAGGCAGCAGUGGGGAAUUUUGGACAAUGGGGGCAACCCUGAUCCAGCCAUGCCGCGUGAGUGAAGAAGGCCUUCGGGUUGUAAAGCUCUUUCGGCCGGGAAAAAAUCGCAUGGGUUAAUACCCUGUGUGGAUGAUGGUACCGGAAUAAGAAGCACCGGCUAACUACGUGCCAGCCGCCGCCGUAA